Dermochelys coriacea (leatherback sea turtle) is the source of this 909-nucleotide long non-coding RNA. RefSeq lists it as uncharacterized. The record is from RefSeq and is a predicted model, not a curated record. The transcript is spliced from 3 exons. NCBI's taxonomy places the organism in Eukaryota, Metazoa, Chordata, Testudines, Dermochelyidae.
UUGCUGACUAAGGACAACCAACUGCUUUCACAGUUUGAAUCACUGGAGUAUACUUCUGUUCAUGUCACCUAUGCCAAACAAUCAUAGGAGGCCAGAACCUGAUCCAGGCUUUCUGGCUAUAAUAAACUGCUGCAUCAAUGACCACCCUCUGGCCUAUGCCAUGUCUAGUAGAAGGAAUAUGCAGUGCUGGGGGACUGGGCAGGUCCCAAUCCUGCAAUGAACACCUGCGUGAACACCAUUGACUUCAAAGGAGCUCCAUGCAGAUGCAAGACUGGGAAGCACCUCCAUGGAACUCACUGCAGGAAUGUACCUUAGGGCUUGUCUACACAGUGCUUCAGUCUGUAAUAGCAGGGUAUAAAUUCUAGUGUGCACUAGUAUGUUGCACACUAAUUGCCCAGGUGGACCCUGCUGGCGCACACUAAAAGUUCCCUAGUCCGCAUUAAUGUAGUCCCAUUUCAAACACUACUAUCUUAAUGUGCACUAGACUGUGUCCAGUACCGUCUGUCUUCAUGUAAUUUUUGCCUACAUGCUAUUUGCUUUUAUCAGAAAGUGAAUGCCCUGUCCAAUCAUUUAUUCUGAGUCUCUCCUACAAAUUAUGAAAGUAGGGUUUUAAUUUAAAUGAAUGCAUAUAUGUAAAAUGUAACAAAGCCUCUGACUUCCUUUUUUUUUUAAUGACUUUACUAUAUGACAGAUUAUUGGGAGAGCAGCAAGGACUAAAUUAGGGAAAUACAACCGGCACCACUCAGAUGUGUGCUUGUGGGUAGGUUAAAACCAUGAGAUCUGGAUCCAAAUGGUCCACCCACAAAAUAUCAAAGGGCUUCCACUGAAAAAGGGCUUGUUUGUAAUAUUCCUGCCUCUCUGUCCUGUUAAUGCUACCUCGUGCUCUCUGAUCCCCAUUGCAAAUCCUAG